GACGAACGCUGGCGGCGUGCUUAACACAUGCAAGUCGAACGGAAAGGCCCUGCUUUUGUGGGGUUCUCGAUUGGCGAACGGGUGAGUAACACGUGAGUAACCUGCCCUUGACUUUGGGAUAACUUUAGGAAACUGGGGCUAAUACCGGAUAGGAUCUCCUGCUGCAUGGUGGGGGUUGGUAAGUUUCGGCGGUUGGGUAUGGACUCGCGGCUUAUCAGCUUGUUGGUGAGGUAGUGGAUUACCAAGGCUUUGACGGGUAGCCGGCCUGAGCGGGUGACCGGCCACAUUGGGACUGAGAUACGGACCAGACGCGUACGGGAGGCAGCAGUGGGGAAUAUUGCACAAUGGGCCGAAGCCUGAUGCAGAAACGCCGCGUGCGGGAUGACGGCCUUCGGGUUGUAAACCGCUUUCGCCUGUGACGAAGCGUGCGUGACGGUAAUGGGUAAAGAAGCAACGGCUAACUACGUG
RNAcentral lists this ribosomal RNA (468 nucleotides) under uncultured bacterium. Its description in RNAcentral is "partial 16S ribosomal RNA". It matches the Rfam family "Bacterial small subunit ribosomal RNA", at positions 28 to 507 of the family's 1533-position model. The record is from RNAcentral.